CCGGAAUGGGAUUUUAGGAUUCGAUAGAAAGUACGGCGGGAAGGCAGGAGGGUGUUGCCCGCAAGCGCCUCCCCGUCUUAUCUUGUCCUCCGCUGGGGUUCGAAGUAGAAUUGGGGAUGGAGAACUCGCUCAGGUAUGAUGGUGAUUCCAAAUCCCUUCGGAUACAUGCCAAGGAGAAGAUUCCCCUCGCCUCGAAAACCCUAUUGCAGUUAUCUUGGCAGGUACAUGGAGAAUUAGACACCGGGACUGGGACCCCUAGUUAUCUUGCCCUAAUUGUUCGACAUUUCUAUCCUGAGUUAUCAGCCAGCAUGGGUUUUGGCAUUCAGCUCAACAAAGAUGAAAAACCCUGUUAUAGCCUUCAAGGAAAGAAGGCAUUUCCAGUCACAGCCAGUGGUCUAGUGGGGAUAAACUUGAAGGGAAGGUUCCAUUUCGACAAAGAAUAUAAGGAGGCAAGGGGAGCAGUUGAAUUGGCAUGGAGUGUAUUGAAUUUCCAAAAGGAUCAAGAUGUGAGGUUUAAAAUAGGAUUUGAUAUCUGUGACCAGGGGCAUUUCUCACAAGAAAGGAGGGGUUAGCUUCUUGGGCAUGUUGUAAUUGAAGAAGGAGAUUCUUAACGAUCAGUUUGUAUUGGAAAGCUUCUCUGCUUUGCUGAGGUGCCAUACUUCCAGAUCCGGGAAAAUAAUUGGACUCUUAAUGCAGACAUCAAUGGUAAAUGGAAUGUGCGAUUUGAUUUGUAAUCCUUUCUCUUCAUCACAUUUGAGAAAACAAACAGAUCUCAUCAUUCAGAUAGUCAUUUUUGUGUCGAGUUGUCCAAAGCAGAUAGUUGUUGAGAUGUCCGAUUCUGUACUUUGUAGUUCAAACUGUGACUGGUCAAUAACAUAAAUCUCAGAAUCGAUUGGUUUAACCGUA
This is an RNA transcript of Musa acuminata AAA Group (dessert banana), 906 nucleotides long. It is a transcript of the gene named outer envelope pore protein 21B, chloroplastic-like, with no coding region annotated. The record is from RefSeq and is a predicted model, not a curated record. The transcript is spliced from 6 exons. Lineage: Eukaryota; Viridiplantae; Streptophyta; Magnoliopsida; Zingiberales; Musaceae.